RNAcentral lists this ribosomal RNA (253 nucleotides) under uncultured bacterium. Its description in RNAcentral is "partial 16S ribosomal RNA". It matches the Rfam family "Bacterial small subunit ribosomal RNA", at positions 524 to 776 of the family's 1533-position model. The record is from RNAcentral.
UACGAAGGGGGCUAGCGUUGUUCGGAAUUACUGGGCGUAAAGCGCGAGCAGGCGGUUCUUCAAGUCCGUGGUGAAAGCCCGGAGCUCAACUCCGGAAUUGCCAUUGAAACUGUAGAACUUGAGUACGAGAGAGGUGAGUGGAAUUCCCAGUGUAGAGGUGAAAUUCGUAGAUAUUGGGAAGAACACCGGUGGCGAAGGCGGCUCACUGGCUCGUAACUGACGCUCAGGCGCGAUAGCGUGGGGAUCAAACAGG